AACAAACUGUAGUCCCUAUCAUUGUAACAAACUGGAGGUCGACUACUUUAUCAGCUGGACCCAAACUUUUGGCAAUCUUGCCCAGUUGGAAUAUAAUACAGCUAAACUGCACCAGUAACAAGAAUUCUUUUAAAAUAUACUCUGGAAAGGAAAAAAAGCUUUUAGAUGUUCCAAAUUGAUGUUGGAAAUGUCCGCCUACAAUUUCAAAGUACAGCAUAGCAUUUCUUGCCCAAAUGAAGCCAGGCGUCCGAGGUCCUCACAUCAAGAUGGGCCAGAUGGGACCUUAUAUUUGUAGCGUAAAAUUUCAUAAUGAUGAAGCUAGAUGAUUCAGAUUCACUAUGCCAGAAAGGACUGUCUUGUUCCGUUCUUUCACCUUCACUUGGUACAUUACACUGCACAAUCAUAAUCUCCAUGUAAGUCCUCAGAAUAAAUUCUAGUGAUAAAACAGAACAUAAGAACCUAACAUCAAACAAUACCUUGAGCCUUCUAGCCACAUCUCUGUUGCUAAUGUUUCUCCAGGGUACACAUGCAGAAGUAGUCGACCUGAUAUACUUUUGACCAUGCUGGGGUCUCCUCCACAUAUACAUCUGAUUAUAGCUCUGACUGCAAACCCAAGAGUGCAAAGCCCAUGCAGUAUAGGGCGAGAAAAUCUGGACAAAUUAAUAUAAAAAUAGUGAAAAAUUCAGAAUGGAGACAACAAUGUAUGAAGGCGGAAAAUUACCAAUAUAAUUUGUUAUAAUUAAUUAACAGGAGACAACAAAGGUAUCCCAUAUUAUAAUUUGAACAGAGGAUAAUUGUAUUUUAAGAGUUAAGAUUGGAUGAGCUAUAAGCAAGAUUAUAUAAAAUCAUAUAACUGGUUAAUGCACUAACCCUGCCUUUCCUGCAAACGCUGGAUCAGAGUGCAAAGGAUUAUAAUCACCAGACAACCUGUAUAGCAAUGCCUGCACAACACCAUCACAAGUUUCCAGCAUCACUAAACAAACUUCACACGAUGCAAAUGCAUAUAUGUUAGUUUUAAGCAACUAUUUAGUCACAAUGUUGUGUGAGCUCUUGAAUUUUGCAGUUAAUCAUAUUUAAUUCCUAAAGUAGUUGGAGUCGGCCAACGAAUCCUUUGUUGCAAUUACCCCUUGUCCCCACUUUUUUCCAUGGGAGUGACUCAACUUAUGUAGUAUUCGGUCAAACCUAUUCUGUAAGAUAAGCCUGAUAUGACAAAUGUUGCCCUUCUCUACCGCUGUUAAAGGAAAGCAAGGAAACCGGUACCAUACCACCAGGCGCAUAGCUACAAGGUUAGCAGUUGAAGCACAGGGCACUCACCCCAACUAAACUUGCAAUUAUUUACACUUAAUGUAUUUAAUUUAGUAUUUACACCUUAACUUAAAACUUUAACCUAAGGGUCAAGCAUAAAUUUGAGCAUUCGGUUUGGAAUUUAUUAUUUUUUACCAUACUAACAGCGUACACCUGCUUGUUUUAUAUCUUUCUUGGCUAGUCCGCUGAGGUUGGUUUGUGUCCAUCACUCUUACUAUCCGCUCAUUGAGAAAUCUAAACUUAAUGUGAACAAACCAUCUCACUCAAUUCAUACAUAUCAUCUAAUCGAUCAUAUCUGGUUACACCUCCAUUUAUUAAGUCUACGAAGGUGUAUACCUACAGGUGACAGUUUGCAGCUCCAGUAAAAAUCAAUAUAUAAGGUGAAGAGGGCUUUCCAUAAUUCUAUCUUUGACACAUUUAUAACUAUUCUGUGCUAAGUCCUCUCAGAUCGAUCAAAAAGGGUUGAUACUAGCAUCCUCUUAAGACAGUCCAGAACCCCUAUAUGAAUGAUGUGAAAUAUGAAGAAAUCCAAGCCCGUAGAAUCACUAGUCUAAUUCAUCAACUCAAUAUAUUAUAAGUACUUUCAAAGAAGCAAAGAUGGCAGAUUUAGAAAUCAGAAAGAAACCAAAAGUACAGAACAAAAACAAUUAAGACAUACCUGUGACGGCAGAGUACAUUCCUCGUAAACUGCAAAGGGCUGACUUUUUGGAUGCUUAAAAGCUAAGCUUUGAUUGGUGAGAUAGUUCGAGUAAGAAUAUGGGCGUUGUGCCUUUGAGAAGCCCCCAGCACCCCUUAAAAAUAGUGUUAACCUGUACAUUAAAAUAUGUACUGAGUAAACUGCAUAUAAAUCAAAGAACAUUACUCGCUUAAGAAAUGGGUUUCCAUAUCAAAGUAGCUACCGUUCUUGUCAAAAUAUCUCACCUAACUACCCGAUCACCCCGAGGACUGAUUUAAAGCACUCGAAUCACUAUAUAUAUCGCUCGUAAAUUUUGAAGAACAAAUUUAUUAGAACUGGAGACUGUUUUCUAAUAGAUCAUUUUUAAGCAUAGGCAAUGCGGAUUUUCUGGUUUGAUCACUAAAGAUUAAGUGCAAGAACCAAUUAGGGCUGAAGGUGUAAAGAGAAGAUUAUACGAACAUAUUAUAUAUGGGUAUAUAUAUGUUUUAAUGUGCCUCUACAUGUAUAAUUAUGAUUUAUUUUUAUUAUAUGAGCCAAGUGUAAUACACCUCAUUAUUUAACUAGGAUUCGGUUAAGUGUUCUGUUGAUGUAUUUUCUAGAUUUAAACCAGUGAUAUACUGAUAUUUAUAGUGAUUUGACUCUUUAAAAUGAGUCCCAGUGGAGAUUGGGUAGCUAGUUGAGAUUUUUUAACAAGAACCGAUGUCCACUUUGAUAUAAAACCCUUAAGAAACUUACCGAUUCAUGCAGAUCGGCUCAUCAGAUGACUCCAUACAACUUGUAACUUCAAUUUCAAUAACAGCUGCUUUACCUAAAAAUUAAAAGGCAUGCUACAAUGAGAACAAAAGCGAAUUAAUUUCAACACCAAUAAGCUAGCAUAGUAUAAAUGUAUAAUAGACUGAUGGACAGCAGGUAACAAGAAUAUUGUGACAGAACAACUUGUAACAAAAACAAUACUGCAUUUCUUAAAUUUUUUGGUAUAUGUCUUUUGUUGCCUCCAGUUUUUGAACAAUGUAUUACAAUCAAGAUUUUCAGUAUAUCGAAAUUUGUA
Molecule: long non-coding RNA, 3029 nt
Filed under: Daucus carota (carrot)
Lineage: Eukaryota; Viridiplantae; Streptophyta; Magnoliopsida; Apiales; Apiaceae
Description: long non-coding RNA (DCAR_LNC003391)
Source: RNAcentral